UAAGAUAUACAAUUUUAUUAUCCGUUUUGGCACAUGCUUGAUAGCAAUCUUCUUGCUGAUUAAUUUCUCCCGUGUAAACAACAAGCUAGAUCGGAGACACUUGAUUUUUGGUUCGAUGACCACACACAUGUAACACACCUUUUCUUUGCACAAUUACAUCACGCACACCUCAAAAAACAAUCUCAAUCUCCAACGCCGUUCACUUGUAAGUGCUUCCAGAUCGGCUUCACCUUCAUAUCGGCGCCCUUGGACAUUGCCACACCUCUGUUGGAUCUCCUUGAUUGUCCAAUCGACUCCACCCAACGAUAGCAGCAACUCCAAUAGGUAUCAUCUUCUGCACAAAAUCGAUUAAUUUGUAUUAUCCACUGGGUGUCAAAGUGAUGAACUGAUCACUGGGUGAUGGAUCAAGUAUACUUGAUUAAUAGAUUAUGCUAAAAUAGAAAAACACUAGUCUAUACAUCUAGAUUCAUUAAUAUGACCAGAACCGGUUCCUUACCAUACUUUUGAUAACAUUUUUGUGUUCAAGGUUGGCUCCCAAUCUCCGUCGCUCACCUUGAUUGUCCAAUUGACUCCUUCUAGUAAAUGCCCCACCUCCAGUAGGUAUUACCAUCUUAUGCAAAAAGGCAAUUAAUUUGCAAGAUUCAUUGUAAGCCAGAUUAAUGAACUCCCUUCGCCGUACUUACAUUUCCCUCGAGUUAAUAGUUAUGUGUUCAAGGUUUGGUUCGAACAGGACUCUUAACUACAUAUAAUUAUUUUUCCAGUUAUAUUGCUCCUUUAAUCAAUGGAUACUCGCAUCAUUGAGGCCCUUAAGAAUGUGCUGCAUAGAGAUAAUAUACUAGCAAAAACAUUCAGAAUGGCAAGUCACACAUUCAAAGAAUGUGACUAUCACAAUGCAAUAUUAAAACUAACCAAUAAGUGUGGCGCAGAUGGAAAACGACAUGGUAUGCCAUCUGCAACUGAAGUUGCAGCCUUGAUUGUGAAUGGUACACUAGAAAAAAUAGACGGUAAUGCCAUUGUUAAGUAUAAACAUAUCAUCGAAGCACAGAUAAUAACAGGAUCACAUGUGGAAGAAAAGGUCUAUAUUCCAAAAAUAAUCAUGUCACCAGCUGAAUGGUUGUGGUUUUCCUUCUAAAAAGGAGAAAAUAUCCUAUCUCACCAUGCUUUGCUAUGACAAUAAACAAAAGGCAGGAGCACUCUCCAAACAAGGUUGGACUAUAUAUACAUGAACAAGUCUUUACACAUGGACAUUUAUACGUACCAUUCUCGAGAGUCAGAAAAAGGGAUGGACUGCAAGUGAUGGUAACUGAUGAAGAUAACAAUAAGAAUGUUGGGGUCAAGAACAUAAUGUACAAAGAAUCUACUAUAUAUUAAAAAUGCUUGACGGGCUAACCAAAAAUAAUAAUUAGACUAGAAAAUCCCACAAAAAUUAGAAACAUCUAACUGUUAAUGUUAUUAGAAAAUAAAACAACGACCGUUAGAUUAUAAUAAUUUUAUGAGAAAUUACCCACCAAUGCCAUCGAAAGGACUAGAAGUCUAAAAUACACACUUGCCGUAUGAUGUUGCCAGCAUUUUACAAUAAGCACAAGUACAUGGAUAAUUAGUUUGCUGUAAAAUCUCUUCAAAUUAACAAAUUUACUUAUCUAUGCUAACAUGAAUGUUACAGACUAUAUGGCAGGAUGAAUAUAGUCUACUAUUUCUACGGAAAUAUUGAAAAGAUGCAUGAACAUUUGAUGGAAAUACGAAGUAGUUCCAAAAAAUGGUAAAAGAUUUACACACAUCUAAGCUUAUGGUUCUUAUAAUAUAUAUAUACAUCGGAUUACAGUUACUGUUCUGUAAUUAUUCAAUAAUACUGAACAUCGAAACAAUAUGGUAUCUCAUGUUUGAGGCUUAUUAUAGAAUACAAGCUUAUAGUGAAAGCAUCCGCGCAUUGUUAUCUUUUAUAUGUACAACGCAAUCAGACCUAUUUUACUAUUUAGUUAUUAAAAUUUAAUUACACUUUGAGAAAUAGUAAAACUACAGCUACUCGCAAAGAUGUGUAUAAAUUCUUAAAUUUCAUCGAUAAGAAUGUGGGCUAAGGGGCCUAACACUGUCAAUGUCGGUCCCAUGCCCGGAAAAAAUUGGAUGUGGCCUGAACAAUUCAGAUUUUUGACUAACAAAGUAACAAGUUACCAUCAGCAAUGAUCAUUAAUAGACAAUAUUGACUGGCCCUGAAAAAUUGGAUAUGGAAUAAUCUGUGCAUAAUAGAUUUCCUCUGGAAACUGGGAGCUAAAAAAAGGCAGGACACCUAACUGAACAAAUAUUUUUAUCUAAGCAUUGCAAAAUUGAAAGAAAGCAGAGAGGAGGUGGUACCACUUCAUGGUCCUUCUACAGCGGCACCUCAAACUACAGUUUUGCACGAUUUUGGUUGAUUGGAGCCCGAAGGCACAGACAUUUGUAGGGCUGUGCUGGAAGUAAAAUGUUAGGGGCGACGAGCCACCCUCCGCCGACCCAACUGCGACAGCUCCUCAACCUUCGACCUUGACAUCGAUGGGAGCCUCACGAAACUGGAGAUGUUCGCGUUGCAUCGCUCGCCUCCGCUCCGUCGCAGGGGACAAGAUCCACGCCCUCAUUGCCUACAUGGACACCAACGGCAACGGCACCGUCAAGUUCGACUAGCUCAACUCCUCCCUCGCGUACCUGCUCCUCAAGCCCUGCUAAGCCUAAGUCAAUAUUGACUGGCCCAGGAGAUCGAGGAGGCGCGCGUGACCCAGAUCAGACCCGUGGCCGCGCCAACGACGUGAGCGACGGGGUGCGUGCAGGGAAGACGAGCAAGGUGGCGGCAUGAAAUCAAUAGAGGUAAGAGGAGCUUGGGAAUGAGAUCAGCAACGCCAUUACCAGCGGCAGUAACCGGAGUUCAUCGGGACUUCGGGAGGCAGCAAUUCUAGAGUGACAAGGAGAGAGGUGAAGGAGAAAGGGGAUCAGGAGAGAGUGAUGUGUGCGUGCCAG
RNAcentral lists this long non-coding RNA (2985 nucleotides) under Triticum aestivum (bread wheat). RNAcentral's name for it is "long non-coding RNA (TAES_LNC013374)". The record is from RNAcentral. Lineage: Eukaryota; Viridiplantae; Streptophyta; Magnoliopsida; Poales; Poaceae.